This 370-nucleotide unclassified non-coding RNA is filed under the name uncultured Flavobacteriaceae bacterium. RNAcentral's name for it is "contains 16S-23S intergenic spacer region". The record is from RNAcentral. Lineage: Bacteria; Pseudomonadati; Bacteroidota; Flavobacteriia; Flavobacteriales; Flavobacteriaceae.
UCCGGUUUGUCACCGGCGGUCUCCUUAGAGUUCCCGACUUGACUCGCUGGCAACUAACAACAGGGGUUGCGCUCGUUAUAGGACUUAACCUGACACCUCACGGCACGAGCUGACGACAACCAUGCAGCACCUUGUAAAUUGUCUUGCGAAAGAUCUGUUUCCAAACCGGUCAAUCUACAUCUAAGCCUUGGUAAGGUUCCUCGCGUAUCAUCGAAUUAAACCACAUGCUCCACCGCUUGUGCGGGCCCCCGUCAAUUCCUUUGAGUUUCGUUCUUGCGAACGUACUCCCCAGGUGGGAUACUUAUCACUUUCGCUUAGCCACUCAGGUUGCCCCGAACAGCUAGUAUCCAUCGUUUACGGCGUGGACUAC